This 1200-nucleotide long non-coding RNA is filed under the name Coffea arabica (coffee). RNAcentral's name for it is "long non-coding RNA (CARA_LNC006982)". Lineage: Eukaryota; Viridiplantae; Streptophyta; Magnoliopsida; Gentianales; Rubiaceae. The record is from RNAcentral.
UUCAUCUCUUUUUUGCUUUUUGGGUGUCCAUAACAUACUGUUUGAGGGUUAAGCAGCGGGAGGGAUGGCAAUUUGAUUAAUCUCAAAGAUUGCAUGUUGAGAAAGAAAGAAACGUACUCCUGAUUUUUGUUUGGUUCCUUCUCCUCAUAUGCAAUCAGCAUCGCCAUUUGGGGUGGGGUUCACUCUGGUCAGGCAUCUCACAUGUUGAAGGUUGUCAAUAGUAGUAUUUUUACUGUGGCAUUAAUUUGAAGCAAAGUACUCCAUCCACAUCUUGAUACGCCAUGAAUAUUCAUUCAAUCUCCCCAUUGCAGCAGAAUAAAGUGUUGUGUUCCUGAUAUAUUCCUGAGUUGGAGGCGGGUGUCCCAACUAAUUAUAAGAACGCACCCAAAUGAAUUGGUUGGCGCUGGCCACCACACACAUACAUGUACAGCUCGACUUAUAUACGUAGUCCAGUACAUUUUCAUAAUACUCACACAAGUACUGUAUGUGCAAGCUAGGAAAGAAGGAAUGAUGAGUUUUUGUUUUUUCGAAAAGCAAGCAUGGGUCAUGACAGCUCAUUCUGCUACCAGUACUGCUUUUGCUUUUGCCGACUAGUAAAAAAUUUUUUUUUUUUGCUUUUUAUUCUUUCUUUACUUUUGUUGGACCUCAUCUCAUCUCAUCAUGUGGAAGCGCCCUAAAUCUUUGUCAAAAUUUUACUUAUUUUUCAUUAAUGAUGCAGUCCUAAAGAUUAAGGGCGCGCGGCAUUGAUUUACCCAUAAAACAAACUUCCAGCCUCAAGGUUAACAAUUAUAUAUGCAUAAGAGUUACCGCUAUCACAAUAUUGAGUUUCUUAGCCUAGUAAUGUGAUACAACAACUUAAUCUGUGGAUGAUCUACCUACCCAUAUACCAUUUGUUGCCCUGAUGACUCAUCAUGCAUGCAUUCAUGCUCAUUAAUUAUUAAUCUGCUAUAUAAACCUAAUUCCAAGCACUCGAUCUAUAAAUGUAAUCAAUUUGAUGAUUGGCGGCUAGUAGGAGGUGGAGGAAGGAACUUUAGGGUAAUGAGCGCAUUCCAGGGGGCCGCUGGAGGAGGAGGAGGAGGAGGGGGAUAUCAAGGCGGGGUUGGCACAGCUUUCCCUUCGGCAACUUUCCCUCAUUAUGCCAUACAACAAGGAAUUCCUUAUAAUCUAUACGGGUAUGUUGUCAUGUACUAGCGCUAGUAU